This is an RNA transcript of Cimex lectularius (bed bug), 928 nucleotides long. It is a transcript of the gene named centrosomal protein of 19 kDa-like, with no coding region annotated. The transcript is spliced from 4 exons. Lineage: Eukaryota; Metazoa; Arthropoda; Insecta; Hemiptera; Cimicidae. The record is from RefSeq and is a predicted model, not a curated record.
UAUAAAAAAAACUACAUAUGUUGUUCAUGUGACGGCUUGUUUAUCUAUUCAAGAGUUUUUCCAGCUCUUCACAAGACUUUACACGAACAGACAACGGGGAACAGUAUUAUUCAAUACAUCACAGUUAAAGGGGCAUUAGAGUAAAAUGAAAACGUGGACGUCAGGUUAGGGCUCCGAGAUCAUUUCGAUGGAAAAACGUUUCUAAAAUGCCUUAUAAAUUACAUUUGAGAUACAAAAAUGGAGAGAAUACUCGAGAGAAAGGGAUGGUGUUGCCGAGGAAGGUCGGGGUCCGCAUCGAUCCGCCGGCUGUCAUCCUUGUCUACGACGUUUGGGGCAAGAUGAGGAUGAGGACGAUGCCCGUCCGCAACGUCUGGGAUUCUACAAGCUCUGCUUUCAUCCUGGAGGAUCUCAAGUCACGCCACGAUGUCCUCAACUCCGUCCCAGAUUCGACGAUCCUCAAGAUGAUCGAGGUGUUGAAAAGAGUCAAAAAAGGAGACUCGCUCCAAGACGCCCUGAAGACAAUAGGCAGUGGAGAUUUCGACGAGAAAAACAAAGAAUUGACGCCGAACGUCACCAAAGAUAAAACCCUGGAGGAUCAGGGGACCAGGUCCAACGAUGAGGACACCGACUUCGAACUAGAGGAGGAACUACCUUUAGACGACCUAUCAGAUGAUUUCUGAAAUAUCUUUGGAAGGAUAAAACAUGUUUCCCAAGUGUUGUGGAUAAAUAACCUCUCCAGUUAAUCUUAACCGGAACUUGAAACCGGCCGUGAUGACGAAAGGCACAAAAUUUUGAAACGCACAUCGCAGAGGAGACUCGGGGUUUUCCUAGUGGUUCGGCCGAUUUGUACGACAAUGUAUCUCGUUUCCGUGUGUUUGUCUGCAGCCCUAUUAACGAUUAGACAAUAUAUUUCUUCGUUUUAAAAAAA